UAAGACCAGCGAUCGGCAUUCCGUAUCCUAUUGGUGUUUGUUUGUGUGGAGUCUGACGUAAGUCCAGCGAUUGGCAGUUGGUUUCCAGUGUGUGUUUGUUGGUUCAGAGUCUGAUGUAAGUCCAGCGAUUGGCAUUCGGUUUCCAUGUUUGCCGGUUUGUGUGGAGUCUGACGUAAGCCCAGCGAUUGGCAGUCGGUUUCUUGUGUGUGUGUGUGUUUUGUUUCGGCGUGCGUGAACCAAACUACGGUAGCUCUGAUUCUCAUUCCAGAUGAGAUACGUAGGCAUAGGAUGCGAUAUCCUAGCGAGCCCGUUCCCCUCUUCUCCCACCCGUGUCUUAUUCCAGUGUGUGUGUGUGCAUUCUCUUGAGCAGUGUUUAGCAACCUUUCUCCUAUUCUUUUGAGCGUGGAUCCCGUCGAGUACGACGGAUGCGUAGGGGUGCUAA
This 442-nucleotide long non-coding RNA is filed under the name Lathyrus oleraceus (garden pea). RNAcentral's name for it is "Pisum sativum (pea) long non-coding RNA (PSAT_LNC000501)". The record is from RNAcentral. Lineage: Eukaryota; Viridiplantae; Streptophyta; Magnoliopsida; Fabales; Fabaceae.